This 253-nucleotide ribosomal RNA is filed under the name uncultured Thermogymnomonas sp. RNAcentral's name for it is "partial 16S ribosomal RNA". It matches the Rfam family "Archaeal small subunit ribosomal RNA", at positions 474 to 727 of the family's 1478-position model. The record is from RNAcentral. Lineage: Archaea; Methanobacteriati; Thermoplasmatota; Thermoplasmata; Thermoplasmatales.
UACCCGCGGCCCGAGUGGUGCUUGAUAUUAUUGAGCCUAAAACGUCCGUAGCCGGUUCUGUAAAUCCAUGGGUAAAUCGAACAGCUUAACUGUUCGAAGUCCGCGGACACUGCAGGACUCGGGACUGGGAGAGGUCAGAGGUACUUCUGGGGUAGGGGUAAAAUCCUGUAAUCCUGGGGGGACGACCGGUGGCGAAGGCGUCUCGCUAGAACGACUCCGACGGUGAGGGACGAAGGCUAGGGGAGCAAACCGG